GAUAGUAAAGGUGUAUAAUCUUUUUGUCUAAGCUAUUGUUUUUGGUGAAGCAAUGUACAUGUAUAAUCUAUGAAGUUGCUAUUUUGUCUUUGUGUAUGUUUGUGGUCAAGGGUCUAUGGGGGAGGGUGCACUGGCAGGGAUGCCAUUGCAUCUUGCAGGAACUCGUAAGAUCUUGGAGUUCACUCUUUCAGUUCCUUAAGGUCUCUCUGAUGUAUAGAAAUUAGAAUAUAGAUCUUAAUUCAGGUAGAUUUCUGAAGAAGUUGGUCAAAGACCUCUUACUGUCUUGGUUGGCCUGAAGCAUCUCGGUUAAAUAUAUAAAAUAAUUCUUUAUUAUGAUCACAUGCGUUAGUGUGAAGUAUAGAAAUCGUUACUACCUACUUCCCUUCUUAUCUUUAAUGUGUUGGCAGCCUGCCUGCUUACUACAAAGGCAACAACUAACUUUUAAACAAUGAGAGGGAUUUCUUUGUUUCUAAAUUGUCUUGUAAAUGUUACAUAAAUAGUUAAAAAAACAAGAGUUCGUGCUAUUGUUUAUCAAACAAUCUUGACCCCAUAACUGGGUUGGUUUCUAUUUUGUUAUGCAUAUAUACAAAGUCAUAUGCCUACUUAAACGUCUAUCUUAUACUCGGCCCUGUAUUUAGAUUUUUUGAGUUUGUUUGUCAAUAAACUAGCUGGUAAUUACUUGAAUUCUGUUUAUUCUCAUUGGUUAUUACUUUGGUCUUACUUGACACUUAGUUUUUCCAGCAGAUAUGCAGUUCUCUUUGUUACUGUUUUCAGGGUACGUGGCGGGUUUCCCUUUUUAGCCCUGUGAUGCACAACCUAUGGAUAUGGAGGGGGAAUAGCAAUGUCAACUUCUACUUUGUAACUACAAUGGCUUUGCUUGCUUCCAGAUUGUUCUGGUGGUCAAAAGCGUAAGCGCCAUUCUUAAUCAUGAUAGAAAGAUGAGAAAGCUAUGUAAUACCACAUGUUAACAUGGCAGAUAAUGUUGAAGGAGUUUUGCAGCUUAUUUCAGCAACCGCUUUGUCAUUUUAGCCUUUGUGAUGCGGAAUUAUCUGCUGGUAACACUAUGUGGCAGGGUCUUGUAAGGGUUGACCUACACGAAAUCUUACACGGAAUCUUGACAUUGUAAAUAUACAUUCCGGCAGGCAUCUAUUCACUAUUUUACGACAUUGUACUCACAUUUAGACCACUGUACUCACAUUCCCAAAACAAUCCAUUGUAUAACAAUGUACAACAAUACCCUAGUUAACUAUU
Long non-coding RNA from Daucus carota subsp. sativus, 1251 nucleotides. RefSeq lists it as uncharacterized. The transcript is spliced from 3 exons. Lineage: Eukaryota; Viridiplantae; Streptophyta; Magnoliopsida; Apiales; Apiaceae. The record is from RefSeq and is a predicted model, not a curated record.